GGAGCUUGCUCCUGCUGGAUUAGUGGCGAACGGGUGAGUAACACGUGAGUAACCUGCCCUUGACUCUGGGAUAAGCGUUGGAAACGACGUCUAAUACCGGAUACGAGCUAGGACCGCAUGGUCACUAGCUGGAAAGAACUUUGGUCAAGGAUGGACUCGCGGCCUAUCAGCUAGUUGGUGAGGUAACGGCCCACCAAGGCGACGACGGGUAGCCGGCCUGAGAGGGUGACCGGCCACACUGGGACUGAGACACGGCCCAGACUCCUACGGGAGGCAGCAGUGGGGAAUAUUGCACAAUGGGCGCAAGCCUGAUGCAGCAACGCCGCGUGAGGGACGACGGCCUUCGGGUUGUAAACCUCUUUUAGCAGGGAAGAAGCGAAAGUGACGGUACCUGCAGAAAAAGCACCGGCUAACUACGUGCCAGCAGCCGCGGUAAUACGUAGGGUGCAAGCGUUGUCCGGAAUUAUUGGGCGUAAAGAGCUCGUAGGCGGUUUGUCGCGUCUGCUGUGAGAAUCCGAGGCUCAACCUCGGACCUGCAGUGGGUACGGGCAAACUAGAGUGCGAUAGGGGAGAUUGGAAUUCCUGGUGUAGCGGUGGAAUGCGCAGAUAUCAGGAGGAACACCAAUGGCGAAGGCAGAUCUCUGGGCCGUAACUGACGCUGAGGAGCGAAAGCGUGGGGAGCGAACAGGAUUAGAUACCC
This 700-nucleotide ribosomal RNA is filed under the name uncultured Actinomycetes bacterium. RNAcentral's name for it is "bacterial SSU rRNA". It matches the Rfam family "Bacterial small subunit ribosomal RNA", at positions 75 to 787 of the family's 1533-position model. Lineage: Bacteria; Bacillati; Actinomycetota; Actinomycetes. The record is from RNAcentral.